CCGACCCUUCCCGAAACCCGACUUCGAAUGAAACAAUAACCCGAGUCCCGGACCUGUAUUCCCUAUGUCGUUUCGGGUUAUCUUCACUUCGGGUUUCCGGUCUAAUGUAAAUACCCGAGACUGAAACAUCAUGAAAAAAAAGUGCGGGGAAAUCGUGAGCCGUUCUGCACUUGUACAUCCGCAAUUCCAUCUUUCGUCUGCUGAUGAUAUCCUAUCCAAUUCAGCAUAUGACCGCAAUUCAUCCCUCAAUCAUAUGAAUAUAGGAUUGCAAUUGAUGUCCAUCCCCUAAAUUUAAGAUGCCGGAGCCAAGGUGGGUGAUCUCCAUGGGAAGUUGUGCCAAUGGCGGUGGAUACUACCCUUACUCAUACUCUGUUUUCUAUGUCUCUGGCUGCCCACUAACAACUUAGGCUCUUUUAUAAGGGCUUCUCCAGAUUCCAGCUGCAGUAAAAGAUCAAAAGGUGAGACUUGCCUGAUGCUAUGGGCCUGGCUUUUGGCAUAUGCUUUAUUUAUUUAUUUUUUUUACCGAAUAAGUUGUGCAUUUGCUCUUCCUGCAUAUGUGUACAUGUAGAUGAAGCAUUUAUGACUUGUGAGACAGCUCAAAAAUGUUUUUGCAUGUUAUAGUUAAAAAUGUAUGAUUAGGGUUUAGUUGCA
This is a long non-coding RNA of Helianthus annuus (common sunflower), 651 nucleotides long. RefSeq lists it as uncharacterized. Lineage: Eukaryota; Viridiplantae; Streptophyta; Magnoliopsida; Asterales; Asteraceae. The record is from RefSeq and is a predicted model, not a curated record. The transcript is spliced from 2 exons.